RNAcentral lists this ribosomal RNA (303 nucleotides) under uncultured bacterium. RNAcentral describes it as "partial 16S ribosomal RNA". It matches the Rfam family "Bacterial small subunit ribosomal RNA", at positions 507 to 807 of the family's 1533-position model. The record is from RNAcentral.
AGCAGCAGCCGCGGGAAUACGGAAGGUCCAGGCGUUAUCCGGAUUUAUUGGGUUUAAAGGGAGUGUAGGCGGUCUGUUAAGCGUGUUGUGAAAUUUAGGUGCUCAACAUCUAACUUGCAGCGCGAACUGGCGGACUUGAGUGCACGCAACGUAUGCGGAAUUCAUGGUGUAGCGGUGAAAUGCUUAGAUAUCAUGACGAACUCCGAUUGCGAAGGCAGCGUACGGGAGUGUUACUGACGCUUAAGCUCGAAGGUGCGGGUAUCGAACAGGAUUAGAUACCCCAGUAGUCCCUGUCUCUUAUAC